Molecule: long non-coding RNA, 1668 nt
Organism: Betta splendens (Siamese fighting fish)
Lineage: Eukaryota; Metazoa; Chordata; Actinopteri; Anabantiformes; Osphronemidae
Source: Ensembl
AUGUCUUCUAGGCGGCAACCGGACAUGGUCCAGGUGACCUGUGUGGCCAUUAAGGAAUGGACCAAGAUCCUAAGGUUUAGAUUUACCCCUGCACCAGAGGCCAGUUGCACACAACAUCAGCAUGAUGCCAUAUUCUGGGAUGGAGAGCGGCUUCUUAGGACCACUGAAUUGGGACCACAGGGAAAACUAACAAAAAUUAAGGAGGGAGAAACAUAUUUUUUGAAAGGUUGCAGAGUGACAGAAUCAGGAUUUCUAAAUUUACACACACACACACACACACACACACACACACACACACACACACACACACACACACACACACUGUCUUGGUUGACUUUACCUCUGUUGGUGCAGGUCCAGCAAAAUGGACGUGCCUCAGGCAGCAGUGGAAGAAGGCCGGGCAAAGCUUUUCCCCAUGUCUCCUCAUAUUAGCUUUGAAGACCUGCAGAAUCCCCCAACUAUCUUUUCAGUUUGUGGAAAGGUUGUGAAAGUAAGUAUUUGAACAUGAUAAUAAAAUAAAUUGUACUACUAGUAAUAUUUUUAACAACUUCUUAUCAACUUGUAGAUGAGCCAAAUACUGUGCAAGGGGGAUAAUCUUCCUUUAACCCUCACGCAGCCUUCGAGGGGGUCAGUCUGACCCCACGAGACAAACUAUGAAACUUUUGAUUCUUUUUACAUUUUUGGCCACAAGGCACCUACGCGUCGCAGGAUCCACUGCGGCUUGGUCACCGCUCCCUUCUUCUUCGUCACAAAGGCCCCGUCCGCAUCCUCCCGGGGGUCCGGCGCGACCCCGGCCCACGGAACUUCCCCGUCAGGCGUCCUGCCCGGGGUCCGGCGCGACCCCAGCUCCCUGUACCUCCCCGUCAGGCGUCCUCCCGGGGUCAGGCGCGACCCCAGCCCCAUGUACCCUCCCCGUCCCGCAUCCUCCCGGGGUCAGGCGUGACCCCAGCUCCCUGUACCUCCCCGUCAGGCGUCCUCCCGGGGUCCGGCGCGACCCCGGCCCACGGAACCUCCCCGUCGGGCGUCCUGCCGGGGUCCGGCGCGACCCCAGCUCCCUGUACCUCCCCGUCAGGCGUCCUCCCGGGGUCAGGCGCGACCCCAGCCCCAUGUACCUCCCCGUCCCGCAUCCUCCCGGGUCAGGCGUGACCCCAGCUCCCUGUACCUCCCCGUCAGGCGUCCCUCCGGGGUCCGGCGCGACCCCGGCCCACGGAACCUCCCCUCGGGCGUCCUGCGGGGUCCGGCGCGACCCCAGCUCCCUGUACCUCCCCGUCAGGCGUCCUCCUGGAGUCAGGCGCGACCCCAGCCCCAUGUACCUCCCCGUCCCGCAUCCUCCCGGGGUCAGGCGCGACCCCAGCUCCCUGUACCUCCCCGUCAGGCGUCCUCCCGGGGUCAGGCGCGACCCCAGCCGCAUGUACCUCCCCGUCCCGCAUCCUCCCGGGGUCAGGCGCGACCCCAGCCCCCUGUACCUCCCCGUUCUCAGAGUAAUGGCUGUCUACAAGAAGACGCUGCAGACCAUCGCAGUCAUUUGAUCAGAGCGGAGGGCAGCCAAAGGCCUCAGUAUCUUGAGGAUCACAACACAAAAAGGCACAGUGUGACUGUUCCCUAUGAGCCGCCCCAGGUAUCACUGCCUCUCACUUCUGACCUUUCCCCUAACGUAGCAAUUAAAUG